Long non-coding RNA from Cydia fagiglandana, 513 nucleotides. RefSeq lists it as uncharacterized. The record is from RefSeq and is a predicted model, not a curated record. The transcript is spliced from 3 exons. NCBI's taxonomy places the organism in Eukaryota, Metazoa, Arthropoda, Insecta, Lepidoptera, Tortricidae.
CUCGACUCAUCAUAAUAAAACCUCUAUGCUACUACUCUAAACUUGUAUAAAGAAUCUCAGGCAGCCGUACUUUAUCUUCCUGCAAAAGAUCAGUUUGAGGUGAUGUAAGUCCCUAACACGCAAGCUACGUCAGUACAAUGAAGCAGAGGAAGAGAAUUUGAUUUAUUUAGAUACUAGUAUAUAGAAAUAUUUUAUUUUAUAUUUAAUUAACUCCAAAUCAAAUCAGUUCACAUUCCAGUUUUCUUACGGCAGCAAAAAUGUAGCCAAAAAGGCUACUUUAUGUAACAAACUAUUCAUAUAUUUAAUCCUGGUCAUUCCGGUGCCAAAAAUGUACCUUAACCCACUAUUAGCUAAUCUACUUUAAUAAAACUCAUCCAGAAUUAAUUAUAAAUAAAUAAAAAUAAAUAAAUUUGGCCAUGUGAUCGUCUAGUGAAAUUAAUACGUUGUGAACCUUAGUACCCUUCGUCUUUUAUGUGCAGACUGAUUAGAUUUGGAUUUAAAAUACUACCUCUA